Grus americana (Whooping crane) is the source of this 4667-nucleotide RNA transcript. It is a transcript of the gene named dynein cytoplasmic 1 light intermediate chain 2, with no coding region annotated. NCBI's taxonomy places the organism in Eukaryota, Metazoa, Chordata, Aves, Gruiformes, Gruidae. The record is from RefSeq and is a predicted model, not a curated record. The transcript has 14 exons.
GGCGGGGAGCGCUGCCGGGGCUGCCCGGGCGCCGCCUGAUCGGAAAGCGGCGCGGCCGCGGCUGGCAGCGGCGGGGCUACCGCGAGGGGCCCGGGGUAGCGGCGAGCCGCGGCGGGGCCGGCGGCGCUGGGCGCCCGCACGGGCCGGCCGGGGAGAGGGAGGAGCGGGGUCCUCCGCGGGCCCGGGUGAGGUCACUCUUUGUGGCUGCAGUUGGCAAGAUGGCGCCGGUGCUGGUGGAGAAGAAGCUGCUGGGGCCGGACGGGCCCGGCGGUGCGGAGCUCCCCAGCGAGGAGGAGGAGGGACAGAACCUCUGGUCCUCAAUACUGAGUGAAGUUUCUACCCGAUCAAGAUCUAAAUUGCCAUCGGGCAAGAAUAUUCUUGUUUUUGGUGAUGAUGGUUCAGGUAAAACCACGCUUAUGGCUAAAAUACAGGGAGCAGAGCAUGGCAAGAAAGGAAGAGGGCUGGAAUACUUGUAUCUAAAUAUUCACGAUGAAGACAGAGAUGAUCACACUCGCUGUAAUGUUUGGAUUCUGGAUGGAGACUUAUACCAUAAAGGGCUAUUGAAGUUUGCAGUUUCUGCAGAAUCCCUGCAAGACACCAUUGUAGUCUUUGUUGCAGAUAUGUCUAGACCUUGGACUGUUAUGGAGUCUUUACAGAAAUGGGCCAGUGUCUUGCAAGAACAUAUUGAUAAGAUGAAAAUUCCUCCAGAGGAGAUGAGAGACAUGGAACAGAAGUUUAUAAAGGAGUUUCAAGAAUAUGUAGAACCUGAAGAAGGCUACCAAGGAUCACCUCAGAGAAGAGGCCCUUCUUCUGGCCAAGAGGAUGAACAUGUGUCUUUGCCACUUGGAGAAAAUGUGCUGACUCACAACCUUGGUAUUCCUGUGCUGGUAGUUUGUACAAAAUGUGAUGCAGUGAGUGUACUAGAGAAGGAGCAUGAUUACAGAGAAGAACACUUCGACUUCAUUCAGUCACACAUUCGUAGAUUCUGCUUACAGUAUGGGGCUGCCUUGAUUUAUACAUCAGUUAAGGAGGAAAAAAACCUUGAUCUGUUGUAUAAGUACAUUGUACAUAAAACAUACGGUUUUCAGUUUACCACGCCUGCCUUAGUGGUAGAAAAGGAUGCAGUUUUUAUACCUGCGGGUUGGGACAAUGAAAAGAAAAUUGCCAUUUUACAUGAAAACUUCAUAACAGUGAAACCAGAAGAUGCAUAUGAGGACUUCAUUGUAAAACCUCCUGUAAGAAAGUUAGUCCAUGAUAAAGAGCUGGCAGCAGAAGAUGAACAAGUAUUUCUUAUGAAGCAGCAGUCAUUCCUUGCCAAACAGCCAGCAACGCCUACAAGAGCAUCAGAAUCUCCUGCAAGAGGACCUGCAGGAUCCCCAAGAACUCAAGGCAGAGCUGGUCCCGCCAAUGUACCCAGUGCCUCACCAAUAACAUCAGUUAAGAAACCAGAUCCAAAUAUUAAAAAUAACGCUGCAAGUGAAGGUGUCUUGGCUAGUUUCUUUAACAGUCUCUUGAGCAAAAAGACUGGCUCUCCUGGGAGUCCUGGUGCUGGAGGAGUGCAGAGUACAGCCAAGAAAUCAGGACCUGUUACCCUAUCAUAGAAAGAAAUUUGGUUGGCUUGACGCAACUUGUUGGUAACAGAUCCAUGUUGAUUGUUGCGCUGGACAGAAAACAGUUUUAACAAAUGUUCAAGAGGAAUUGGAUAGGAUGACUCGCAAGCCAGACUCUAUGGUAACAACAAACUCUCCUCCAACAGAGAAUGAAGCUUGAUAGCGCAUAAAAAAUGCAUAUGUAAAUGACCAAAUAACUAUGUAUAUUGAUCUGAUAAGACCAGGAAUUUUCUGCUAUGGCAGAUGCUAUCAGUUUUCUUGGGCAGGGGAAAUGAGCUUACUACAUCAUUGCCUUGUCCCAGUAAAAAGUGCACAUUCAGGAAGUUUGCAUAUAAAAUCCCUCUGUAUAAGAUAACCAUUUAGAGUUUAUAUAGGGCAAUUCUUUUGGUUUUGGAGGUAAGCAGGUGCAGCUGCAUUUCCUGUUGUGAAGAACACAGAGAAGCAAAAUGGAGAAUUCUUUCUAAAAUACUACUACUGACUGCACACAAGGCAAGAAAGAGAAAUUAAACCCUCUUUCAGAGUUACUGGAAUUGGCUACUUGUAUGUUUGCAAAUGCAUUAUAUUCUUGGAAAGGUGGUGGUGGUGUAAUAGAGCAUUAAUUAGGUGACAGAAGCCUAGGUAGGGAACGGAGCCCUAAAAGGGGAAACAGAUUUGCGACAGUGAGAAACUAGAAUGUUGGGUUGGCUGGAGAGGAGCAAUGUUGUUAAAUCCUGUGUUUCACAUAGGGUAAAUAAUCACUGUUUUAAAGAGACUACUUUACAUUGGAGAAUUCCAGGCCAAACACUAAGCAUCAUGGGAAUUUAUUCUUGUUAUAAAUCUUGUUUUAGUUUUUAAAACCUCUAAGAGUGUGGAUGCCCUUUCUGGUGUAGCUGACAAAGGGAGAAACUAUAACUUGUUUAGAUCCAAGUGCCUGGCACAGUGUGUGAUGUGUCUUUAGAAGGUGCUUGAAUUUAUUGUGCACUGUAGUACAAACAGUCACUGUUUGGUUUUAUUUUAAAAUCGGUAGUUUGGCAACUUGUAUUUAAUUUUAAAUCCUGUUUUCUGAUAGCUUCUGCCUUUUUUUAUGCCAAGAGGCUAGCCUAUGAAGAAUGGUGGGUGACGUAUCAUUUUCCCAUAAUGAAAUGUGCUACAGAACACUCUCAGUAUUUUUUCCUUACUUUUUGUAACUAAAUAUUAGCUACAAAGCUAAAAUUGAUUCCUGCCUUACACCUAUGGAGGUUUUUAAAAAAAACUUUCAAGGCCCUAGUUCCAACCACAUCUGCUGCAGGUGCAGCCAACUCCAGUUCGGACGGUAACCUAAAAAAUAUGAAUGCGUACGUGAUGAGCACACUCAAUAACUUGUUUUAUAUUUUCUUUAAUGUAGCAUUUCAUUUGGAAAGAUGGGUUGUGGUUGUCCCCGUUGCUCUAACGGAGCUCUGUCCAUGGUCACAUAAAACCAUCAUUCUGUACAAACAAACAAAACUGCUAUGGUUACUGAAAUGGCACUUUGAUUUUAUAUACAGUAUGCUUGUUUUACAUGUACACACUACCAUAAAUUAAAAAUGCCAAGCAUAUUCUGUGCUUUUAAUGCUGAAGGGAAAAACCACAAUUUGAAUUAUGCAGAGUUUACUUUUUAUUGAUAUGAACUUGUUGUACUAAAUCUGAUGUCUGGAUAUAACUUCCCUAAUAUAUAUUGUUACUUAAAUAUACAGAAUUAGAUUGACCACUAACACCGUACUGGAUGUUAACUUCAAAUCCUAUGUUACAUCAAGAGGCUGUUCUUGUAAGUCUGUCUAAACAUUAUCUAGAAAGCUAAGAGUAUUUACUUGCCUCUUUGACAAACAUUAACAUGAGUAUGUUAUUUGUGCCAGUUUUUUUUGUUGAAAAUACUAUAUUUUCUUUUUUUUUUUACUUUUUUUUAAUAAACAGUAUGACCUGAAGUUAUACAGUUGUCUAGAUAACAGUUAGACUAAGACUGUAGAUGGCUGAUGGGUAAUGUGGGUGUGCUUCCUGGUGUAAUGGGUGCCAGUUGCAAGUUACCACACCAGAAGAAGUAAUUACACACUGUCCUCUUGACACUGAGAAUUGAGAUUGGAGACUAAAACAUCAAAAACUUGACAGAAAAAUUGUAGAAGUGUGUGAUCGUAAUGGGAUAUAGUUUGAAAACCUCAGUCCGAAACUGCAUUUUUUUGUCAUCUAACCUGAUAAGCACUUUCUCUAGCAAUAUGGCUAAAACUUAAAAUUGAAGUACUUUCCAGUUCUAUAAAAAUGUUAAAUAUACUAAAAAUGAUCAAAACUGAUAAUGUAUGAUAACUUACUAGCUUUGCAGAAAGAUGCUUCUGACAAAACAGAAACAGAUUUCCAGUUUCUAAUUGCAAGUGAAUGCUCCUAGUGUACUGAAAGAAAGUUGUAAGUAAUGUAGCAUCCUGUGGUUGCCAAAGUCUGUCAACUUUGGUGAGCUGCACAGUUGUUAUUCUGGUGUCUUCAAGCAUUGGAACCAAAGGCCAAAUUGCAAACAGCCUUUACAUUUUCAAGUGAAACAUCAUUUUAUUUGCAGAUACACUUGUAUGGUAGACUGUUUAAACUAUUAUAUGACUAUAUUUAUAUGCAUUAUAGUGACUGCAUCUACUGUUCACGUUUAAACUAAGAAAACAAAAGAUGAAAGCAUUCAACUUGAAGCAAAUAGAAAAGUUUAAAGAUUGGCCCUCCAUAAAAAUGCUGUGGUUAUGCUGCUUGAUUUUAAGUUUGCACUUUUUUAUUGGCAUUUAAAAAACCUGUUUAAACUGAACAGAAUUUCGUAUUUUAUUUAAUUUAACUACAUUGAAAGUGACUGCUCUGUACAUCAUGAACUUAACAAUAUACAUGCUGUAAAUGGAAGUUCACUGUCCUGUAUACAAAGUUUAUUGUUUUUUUCCAACUUACAAUUAGGACUGCAAAUGUAUGAAACAAACCUUAGUCCAGUUGUAUGGCUUUAACCAGGUGCAGUAUGCAGUCAUGUGGAAUCUUGCUUUCUAGUGCUGGCAAAAUGAGGACGUCUUUAAUUACUGGCUUCAAUAAACACGAAUCCAGACUGCUUUA